GAUGAACGCUGGCGGCGUGCCUAAUACAUGCAAGUCGAGCGAACGGACGAGAAGCUUGCUUCUCUGAUGUUAGCGGCGGACGGGUGAGUAACACGUGGAUAACCUACCUAUAAGACUGGGAUAACUUCGGGAAACCGGAGCUAAUACCGGAUAAUAUUUUGAACCGCAUGGUUCAAAAGUGAAAGACGGUCUUGCUGUCACUUAUAGAUGGAUCCGCGCUGCAUUAGCUAGUUGGUAAGUUAACGGCUUACCAAGGCAACGAUGCAUAGCCGACCUGAGAGGGUGAUCGGCCACACUGGAACUGAGACACGGUCCAGACUACUACGGGAGGCAGCAGUAGGGAAUCUGCCGCAAUGGGCGAAAGCCUGACGGAGCAACGCCGCGUGAGUGAUGAAGGUCUUCGGAUCGUAAAACUCUGUUAUUAGGGAAGAACAUAUGUGUAAGUAACUGUGCACAUCUUGACGGUACCUAAUCAGAAAGCCACGGCUAACUACGUG
RNAcentral lists this ribosomal RNA (497 nucleotides) under uncultured bacterium. RNAcentral's name for it is "partial 16S ribosomal RNA". It matches the Rfam family "Bacterial small subunit ribosomal RNA", at positions 28 to 507 of the family's 1533-position model. The record is from RNAcentral.